RNAcentral lists this long non-coding RNA (321 nucleotides) under Salvia miltiorrhiza (redroot sage). Its description in RNAcentral is "long non-coding RNA (SMIL_LNC008653)". The record is from RNAcentral. Lineage: Eukaryota; Viridiplantae; Streptophyta; Magnoliopsida; Lamiales; Lamiaceae.
GUGGUGGUAUGAACAAGGCGCGAGUUCCCGCAUCUUCCAAGCUCAACACUGCACUAAAAACCCACAAACAAAACAAAGAAACAAAAAGAAACAAAACGAAACUAAAAGAAAGAAAAACAAAACAAAGAAAAACAGUUGGGUUACCUCCCAACAAGUGCUUAAUUUAACGUCUAGAGCUCGACGAUACCUCAUGGUCUCAAUGAACAUCAAACGCAGCGGGCGUGACAGACCGCCUAACACGAACAGAGACAGAGGACUCAUGCGCAUCAGCUGCGUGAAAGAUAACGCUUCCAUUGGGCACAUCUAUCAUAGCCCUCCCCG